Long non-coding RNA from Trematomus bernacchii (emerald rockcod), 559 nucleotides. RefSeq lists it as uncharacterized. Lineage: Eukaryota; Metazoa; Chordata; Actinopteri; Perciformes; Nototheniidae. The transcript is spliced from 3 exons. The record is from RefSeq and is a predicted model, not a curated record.
CUCAGCCAACGGUGGUCUUUCUCUGGGUUGCUCUCUUGCACCGAGCAUCCAACAUAAUUUUCCGCAUCGCCGUAAAGGGCUCCAACACUUCAGUCCAAACGAAGGUGUGUGCGUGGUCUGGUUAACAUGCUAAAUGCUAACGUGCUCAUGAUGGAUCCUCCAGCGGUGACUUCUGAUUUAACUGAGGAACUUUUACCUGUGAUGAGGUGUGUGACACUUCAGCUCAACAUGUUUGAAAAAGUUAAGGGACACACUAGGAGACAGAGACUGCGUACUAGGACCGAGAGGCUGAGUGGACUGGAUAUUUUACACUUUGGGAACUGAAUACGUUGAACCUUCAUGGUGCACAAGACUCUCCUUCAGACAGUGUCCCAGGGUUCCAGGGGGAGGGAUGAGAGAAGGUCAGUCUCUCUGCUGCUGAGCACAGUCAGUGGGGGUCUCCUUCUCCUGGGGACCCUCAGCCUUGGUUCAAGUCACUUUCUGUAUCGCUAACGCAGCCCUCUGCUGUCGCCGUGGCCCACCAGCCUCCCUCCGAUCAGACCUUGGCCUCCGAUCAGAC